This 1053-nucleotide long non-coding RNA is filed under the name Heterocephalus glaber (naked mole-rat). RNAcentral describes it as "lncRNA (ENSHGLG00000034359.1)". The record is from RNAcentral. Lineage: Eukaryota; Metazoa; Chordata; Mammalia; Rodentia; Bathyergidae.
UUCUAUAGAGAGAAGGAAAGAAAGAAGAAAGGAAAAUGAAAAAAUUACUAUGUACUUUGUUCGACAUCACUUGCAGAAACUCAACAGAAAGAGAAACAGUCCCAGGUUAUGCUGCCCCUUCCCACGCCCAUCCUCACAUUUAGAUUCUUCAGAGUCCCAUCCGCAGUGACAGGGCGCACAGUGCUCCAGGUAGAGAAGCAGGGAGCGUUGCAGGGAUGGUUUUCUACACGCGAAGACCCGAAGGGAUUCGACGUAGAGCACGUCACAGGAGUCGCAACAGUGUAUUUCCGAAGUGGAAGAGGCAGGAGAGGGCAAAUGGCUGACCUUUCCCGCCCGAUUGCAGGUUCUUUUCCUGUGACAUGGACACGGGUGCAGAAACAUUUCUCCACUCCGAAACAGACACAGCGCAAGCAUGAUGACCUUCACAACGGCCCGCGUCCUCAGCAGGGAGCAGGACGGAGGCGAGGAGAUUGGCUGUGGGUAAGCGCAAGAAAGGGGCACAAUGAUGCAGGACUUUCCAUACCGGCCGUCGCCCCUCUGAGAGAAAGACAACGCAGGCGAGAAGGAUGCAGAAGUCCAAGAUGUACUGCACUUUUGAAGAAGGAGAUCAAGGAAGGCUUAACGGAGGAAAGAAAGAUAAUAAUGAAGAACCAAGUAAGAGAAUGUCAGAUCGUGGUUCCUUGCAACAAAGGACAUAAACCAAGGCCAUGUCCUCUAACUCUGAUCGUCCUGUCUCCCUCUGAACUCACUUAGAUAAUCCCAGACAAUCACCUCAUCGCAGGAUCCUUAAUUUAAUCACAUCUGCAAAGCUCCUUUUGCCAGGAAACUGUGCCAAGGACCCCUGUAGACCUAAAAUGAAGAUAUGCUGGAUUUCUGCCUUUACAAUGUGGAGGAGUCUGCGCGGAGCAGAAACUCGGCAGGUGCCGAAGGAGAAACGAGUGGCUCACGUCGAAGCUGGCCAGGGCCAGCGCCCGACUGUCUCGAGGCUCUGGGAUUUGCUGCACCAGCUGUUUAACAACGCUGCUCCCGAACCCCUUCGUUUUAAGAGCCUGG